UGGGGAAUUUUGGACAAUGGGCGAAAGCCUGAUCCAGCAAUGCCGCGUGUGUGAAGAAGGCCUUCGGGUUGUAAAGCACUUUUGUCCGGAAAGAAAUCCUUGGCUCUAAUACAGUCGGGGGAUGACGGUACCGGAAGAAUAAGCACCGGCUAACUACGUGCCAGCAGCCGCGGUAAUACGUAGGGUGCAAGCGUUAAUCGGAAUUACUGGGCGUAAAGCGUGCGCAGGCGGUUUGCUAAGACCGAUGUGAAAUCCCCGGGCUCAACCUGGGAACUGCAUUGGUGACUGGCAGGCUAGAGUAUGGCAGAGGGGGGUAGAAUUCCACGUGUAGCAGUGAAAUGCGUAGAGAUGUGGAGGAAUACCGAUGGCGAAGGCGAGCCCCCUGGGCCAAUACUGACGCUCAUGCACGAAAGCGUGGGGGAGCAAACAGGAUUAGAUACCCUGGUAGUCCACGCCCUAAACGAUGUCAACUAGUUGUUGGGGAUUCAUUCCUUAGUAACGUAGCUAACGCGUGAAGUUGA
Molecule: ribosomal RNA, 521 nt
Filed under: uncultured bacterium
Lineage: Bacteria
Description: partial 16S ribosomal RNA
Rfam family: Bacterial small subunit ribosomal RNA
Source: RNAcentral